AUCCAGAGCGGCACGCGGGAGGCGACUUCUCCUAGGCCGCGUCUCCCGCGACUUCUCCUAGGCCACGCGACGCUAGCAGCGCCAUGGCUGAACUGAAAGCAAAGAGGGGUAGUCGUACUUACCUCACAUGGACAGAUGCGAUGGAUCUAGCUCUUUUGGAAGUUCUUGUGGAGCAUCACAAUAAUGGAGACCGUGGUCAAAAUGGUUGGAAGCCACAUGUCUACAAUGCUGCCAUAAGAAAUGUGAAGGAUAAGUGCAAUGUGGAUAUCACAAAGGAUAAUAUUUCGGCAAGGUGCAAGACCUUUGAUAAGCACUAUGAAAUCAUUAGCAAGAUACUAUCGCAGAGUGGCUUUGGGUGGGAUUGGGAGAACAAUAGACUUUCUAUGGACAGCGAAGAUGUUUGGUUUAGAUAUGUGGAGGCUAACAAAGGAGCAGCAUGCUACAAG
This is a long non-coding RNA of Zea mays, 446 nucleotides long. RefSeq lists it as uncharacterized. Lineage: Eukaryota; Viridiplantae; Streptophyta; Magnoliopsida; Poales; Poaceae. The transcript has 3 exons. The record is from RefSeq and is a predicted model, not a curated record.